Molecule: long non-coding RNA, 607 nt
Organism: Myripristis murdjan (pinecone soldierfish)
Lineage: Eukaryota; Metazoa; Chordata; Actinopteri; Holocentriformes; Holocentridae
Exons: 5
Source: RefSeq, a predicted model, not a curated record
UGCCCAAUGUAAUGCAGUGGAAUACCGCCCUAGGUAGCGUGCUGAAGCCCAGUCUAGUGGAGUGCUGUGUGCAAGAUCAUAGUAAGACUCCUUGCUAGCAUAUGCUUGUGUUUAAUGCAGCGACCUGCUUCUGCAUGGAGGUAAAUGAAGCUUUUAAGCAGGGCGGAGAGACGGGGGACCAGUGAAAAGAUUAAUUGACUUUCUGCAGAGCUUCACUUAUCCUCCACUGGCACCUUUGACUCGAGAGUGAAAGAAGUGAAAGAAAUACCUGGGAAGUAUGAUAACAGUAAAUUGUAGAGUUGGGCAAGACAAGCUCAAAGAAAUGGAAUCGAUAGCAUGACUAGGAGCUCUACACUCUGGAUGUGGAUGGUCCAAAUUGUUUCACACUGCGGCCAAGAUUUUCCAAGAAGGGGUCCCAUGCUUGGAGAAAAACUUAACGAAGAGCUUUAACGGGAUUAUGGCUCUAAGGGGACAAGUUUUGGUCAGGAAGAGGAAGGAGAGAGAACAUAGGCUGUGACUGGUUGCCAUCUAGUGGCUUUCACUGGCACCUCCUGCUAUGUAUUGUAAGUAAGCUAGAAAGAACUGAAAUAAAGCUGAAAUAGCAAGU